RNAcentral lists this ribosomal RNA (119 nucleotides) under Pteropus alecto (black flying fox). Lineage: Eukaryota; Metazoa; Chordata; Mammalia; Chiroptera; Pteropodidae. The record is from RNAcentral.
GUCUACGGCCAUGCCACCCUGAACGUGCCUGAUCCCAUCUGAUCUCGGAAGCUAAGCAGGGUCGGGCCUGGUUAGGACUUGGAUGGGAGACCACCUAGGAAGACCAGGUGCCGUAGGCG